AAGUCGUAACAAGGUUUCCGUAGGUGAACCUGCGGAAGGAUCAUUAAAAGAUUUUUGGUAUAAUUUUUUGGGGUCAAUUGAUCUCAAAAAAUAAUUCACCUUUUGUGCAUUGUUAUUAAGAUAUACUUUGGUUAGAGCUUUGACAUUAAGUCAACUUCUUGCUAACUCUAUCCUUAUUGUAAGGACAGUUGGCUAUGAAGCGUGCCUACCAAGGUUUUUUAUCAAACUCUUUGUAUUUUUUCUGACCUAAAUAAAUAAUAAUUAAAUCAUAACUUUCAACAACGGAUCUCUUGGCUCUC
RNAcentral lists this unclassified non-coding RNA (299 nucleotides) under fungal sp. RNAcentral's name for it is "partial internal transcribed spacer region". The stretch from base 1 to 46 matches the Rfam family "Eukaryotic small subunit ribosomal RNA", at positions 1786 to 1831 of the family's 1831-position model. Lineage: Eukaryota; Fungi. The record is from RNAcentral.